AAGCCGAGGUUUCUAUCAAGAAACCCUAGCACCGCCAUUGGUUUCUUUCUCUCUCUCGCAUCAUCAAUGGCCAAAAAUGGAUGUUUACAGUGUACUUCGCUUCAUGCAGCUUGUGGUUCAACCGUUUGGAGCAAGCAAUUAAUACUUCCCUCUCUCUUCCUACCACACAGCAACCAAAUUAGGUCUCGGGUGGAGAAUCAAGGGCUUGGAAUUCCAAUCUCAAUUAAGGCUGCACUUGAAAAAGUGUCAUUAUUGAACCUUGGGAAGUACGCUUGAGCGGGAUUUGAGGUAACGAAGAAGAGCAUGUACAGACAAAUCUCGCGAUUUAGGAGUACUUACUGCUUUCCAGAUUGUUAGUGAGUCCACACAUGUUGGUUCGUGGGACACCCCUUUAUUUAAAGUUAGUGAUUUAAUUUCCGGGCUGCGUCCCGAAGUUAGGAUAUUGUCUAUGUCUCUUAGAAGCUCCAUAGAUAGUUGUCAAAUUGUGGGUAGACUUAUGGAGGUGUUUUCCAUUUUUACGACUAUUUAUUUUUGUUAGACUUCCGCUGGUUUUACUCUAUAAUU
Molecule: long non-coding RNA, 564 nt
Organism: Lycium barbarum (goji berry)
Lineage: Eukaryota; Viridiplantae; Streptophyta; Magnoliopsida; Solanales; Solanaceae
Exons: 4
Source: RefSeq, a predicted model, not a curated record